UUGGUAGACGCUGCGGACUUAAAUAAAUAAUAAUAAAGAAUUUGAGCUUUAGUAGAAAAACUUAUUAAAUGCUAGCUUUCAGAUUCAGGGAAACUUAAGUUGAAAAAAGUAUAAGCAAUCCUGAGCCAAAUUUUAUUUUUAAAAAUAAAAUAGGUGCAGAGACUCGAUGGAAGCUAUCCUAACGCAAAAAGUUUUAAGAUUUAUUUAAUUGAAUUGUAUAAAUUAAUGGAAAUAAAAAAAAAAUUUAGUAAUUUUUUUAUUUUAUUAAUAAUAAGCGAGGAUAAAGAUAGAGUCCCAUUUUACAUGUUAAUUUUAGCAACAAUUUAAAUUGUAGUAAAAAGAAAAUCCGUUGGCUUUAUUGACCGUGAGGGUUCAAGUCCCUCUACCCCCAAAACUAUUAAUCCUUUUUUUUUAUUGACAUAAGUUUCCAGCUUAUGCUAAGAUAGCCUAGGCAAUAAAAAGCCGGAAUAGCUCAGUUGGUAGAGCAAAGGACUGAAAAUCCUCGUGU
Molecule: unclassified non-coding RNA, 508 nt
Filed under: Campylopus introflexus
Lineage: Eukaryota; Viridiplantae; Streptophyta; Bryopsida; Dicranales; Leucobryaceae
Description: partial contains tRNA-Leu, trnL-trnF intergenic spacer, and tRNA-Phe
Rfam family: Group I catalytic intron (bases 11-316)
About the family: Group I catalytic introns are large self-splicing ribozymes. They catalyse their own excision from mRNA, tRNA and rRNA precursors in a wide range of organisms.
Source: RNAcentral